This 50-nucleotide transfer RNA is filed under the name Bambusa multiplex (hedge bamboo). RNAcentral's name for it is "partial tRNA-Cys". RNAcentral also lists the same sequence under 96 other names. Lineage: Eukaryota; Viridiplantae; Streptophyta; Magnoliopsida; Poales; Poaceae. The record is from RNAcentral.
UGGGGAUAAAGGAUUUGCAGUCCCCUGCCUUACCGCUUGGCCAUGCCGCC